UAGAGUGACCAACCUUCCUGGUUUGCCUGGGACUGAAGGGUUUCCCAGGAUGCAGGAUGUUCAUUGCUAAACCAGGAGUG
MicroRNA precursor from Choloepus hoffmanni (Hoffmann's two-fingered sloth), 80 nucleotides. NCBI's taxonomy places the organism in Eukaryota, Metazoa, Chordata, Mammalia, Pilosa, Megalonychidae. The record is from Ensembl.